UACAGAGGUCUCAAGCGUUGUUCGGAUUCAUUGGGCGUAAAGGGUGCGUAGGCGGCGCGGUAAGUCGGGUGUGAAAUCUCGGGGCUUAACUCCGAAACUGCAUUCGAUACUGCCGUGCUUGAGGACUGGAGAGGAGACUGGAAUUUACGGUGUAGCGGUGAAAUGCGUAGAUAUCGUAAGGAAGACCAGUGGCGAAGGCGGGUCUCUGGACCACAACUGACGCUGAGGCGCGAAAGCUAGGGGAGCAAACAGG
Molecule: ribosomal RNA, 253 nt
Filed under: uncultured bacterium
Lineage: Bacteria
Description: partial 16S ribosomal RNA
Rfam family: Bacterial small subunit ribosomal RNA
Source: RNAcentral